Long non-coding RNA from Labeo rohita (rohu), 1669 nucleotides. RefSeq lists it as uncharacterized. The transcript is spliced from 3 exons. NCBI's taxonomy places the organism in Eukaryota, Metazoa, Chordata, Actinopteri, Cypriniformes, Cyprinidae. The record is from RefSeq and is a predicted model, not a curated record.
GUGAUUUAAAAGAAAUCGUGUGAGUGCAGAUCGUUCGUCUAACCGGACAGACGAGCCAGUAGUAAACACGUACGAGACUUUAAUGUUUUAAUAUUUUUGGACAUAUUAUAGCUUAUUUUCACUGCUGUAGUGAAAGUAUCUAUUUUCUGGACGUUUCAACAGCGGAGGUUUUGUCGACAGGAUGUUUAUUCACAUAUAGACUUUUGAGGUUUUUUUUGCUGUUCACUCGUAAACGGUUUUGUUGAAGAGUAAUGCUGUAACUACCAUUUAAACCGAACUCGGCGCUGCUUUUAACGAAAAAAGGAUUUUGUACGUUAAAUGAUUUUCCUUAAAAGUUUUGCGAUGGAGUUCACAGAUGAGGAGAAAAUAUGGCUGCAAAGAGUGUCCUCUGAAGUACCUGAAGGAGAUGAACUCACUCCAAAGGAGAAGCAAUUACACGAGAAAGCAAAGCCAGAGACUGAAUAUCAGGCCCAGCUCUUCCAAGCUAUGGCCUCCGCACGAUUUGGAUUGAAUGAUCCAGUAACCUUAACAAUAGAGGUGAAAAACUCUGAAAAACUCCAGCAGAGGAGCAGCGUCUUAUCACAAUGUGGAUAAUCUCCAAACACCAAGAAGACGACACGUUUACCUUUUCUUUUUGAUAUGAAACUAAAUAUACAGAAUAAACUAGCCUAAAACAAAAUCAUCCGUACAUAAAUGUGAUGUCAGUUGACUUUGGCACUUUGUAAUUAAUCACAAGAAUACAAGUUUAUCUUUUGCAUGUUUUCACCACGGUAUCUUACUGCAUUAAUGAUUUAUUAGUGCAUGUCAGGUUCAGAUUACAGCUACAACGGACAAUGUAGCAGCAUCAAAAUGCUCAUGAAAUGUUUCCUCAGCUAUAAACAACAGGACGCUAUACAAAGUUGACUUUGAGAAAAUAUGCUAUUGCUUUUUGCAUGCUCUUUUAAUGUUGUACGAUCUAUGAAAUCAUAAGAAAACAGGGAAUCAAGUACCCAGAUAGCACAUGUUUGUCUGCAAGAUGUCUGUUAAAGAUCUCUUGAUCUGGAAAGCAUCUGCUGUGUACAAACAUCUGGCAGACGUCUGUAAGAUGUCAGUUUUACAAACAUUCUAAAUCAUAAACAUCUUAAAGACAUCUAAUAGACGUUUAUUUGACAUCUGAUAGGAAACAUCCAAUAGACAUACUGCAGAUGAGCAAACUACAUCUUGCAAAUGUAAAUGCAGACGUCAAAUAGACGUCUCCGAGAUGUAUGUGUGCUAUCAGGGUAGUUGUUGUUGUUGUUUUUUUUUAAAUGUCGUUGGUGCAAAAGUCAUUGGUGCUUUUUUACAGAUACAUGCUAAUGCUGAGUAAAGGUUCUUCAAAGACCCAGUAUACGUUGGUGUUUAUCAUGUUUGCAGGGAUGAAAACAUCUCUACCUCAUUGUGCGUACAAUAACAAACAGUACAAUAUUUUUUUGCACACAUGUACAAUAAUUCAUACAACGAUAUUUGGACAGUAGUAGAGUUCUAAUUUUCAGAUGUUGGUUUCAAUACUGUGUAUUUUUAUGAUUUCUAUCCGUGACGCACACAAAGCUUAUGAAAUGUUAUUUCCGAAAUGCAUUCCACUGUUUUCACAUUUAAUGUUUUAAAUGGGUUUUUACUGUACUUUAUAAUGAAUAAAAUAACAAUGAAUCAA